AUUGGGCCGCAAGGUUCAAUUCAGUGGCGAAAGGGCGAGUAAUACAUCGAUCAUCUGCCCCAGGGCCCGGAAUAACACUUGGAAACGAGUGCUAAUACCGGAUGGUCCAGAAAUGGUAAACGGCGGGGACCGCAAGGCCUGCCGCCCAGGGAGGAGUCGAUGGCCUAUCAGCUUGUUGGUGAGGUAACGGCUCACCAAGGCGAAGACGGGUAGCCGGACUGAGAGGUUGGUCGGCCGCACUGGGACUGGGACACUGCCCAGACUCCUACGGGAGGCUGCAGUCGAGGAUCUUCCGCAAUGGGGGCAACCCUGACGGAGCGACGCCGCGUGCAGGAUGAAGGCCUUCGGGUCGUAAACUGCUGUCACACGUUAUGAAACUGUACGAACUAAUACUUCGUACCUUGACAAAGGCGUGAAAGGGAGCCACGGCUAACUUCGUGCCAGCAGCCGCGGUAAGACGAAGGUGGCUAGCGUUGCUCGGAUUUACUGGGCAUAAAGCGCGCGUAGGUGGUCGUGUAAGCGGGGGAUGAAAGCCCAUGGCUCACCCAUGGAACUGUCCCCCGGACUGCACGGCUCGAGGAAGGAAGGGGAGAAUGGAAUUCCCGGUGUAGCGGUGAAAUGCGUAGAUAUCGGGAGGAACGCCGGUGGCGAAAGCGAUUCUCUGGUCCUUUCCUGACACUGAGGCGCGAAAGCUAGGGGAGCAAACAGGAUUAGAUACCCUGGUAGUCCUAGCUGUAAACGAUGGGCACUAGGUAGAGGGGGUGUCGAUACUCUCUCUGUCGUAGCAAAUGUGUUAAGUGCCCCGCCUGGGGAGUACGGUCGCAAGGCU
This 829-nucleotide ribosomal RNA is filed under the name uncultured Bacillota bacterium. RNAcentral describes it as "bacterial SSU rRNA". It matches the Rfam family "Bacterial small subunit ribosomal RNA", at positions 71 to 895 of the family's 1533-position model. Lineage: Bacteria; Bacillati; Bacillota. The record is from RNAcentral.